CUAUAAUGGAGAGUUUGAUCCUGGCUCAGGACGAACGCUGGCGGCGUGCCUAAUACAUGCAAGUCGA
Molecule: ribosomal RNA, 67 nt
Filed under: Planococcus sp. CPCC 101016
Lineage: Bacteria; Bacillati; Bacillota; Bacilli; Caryophanales; Caryophanaceae
Description: partial 16S ribosomal RNA
Rfam family: Bacterial small subunit ribosomal RNA
Source: RNAcentral